CCUACGGGAGGCAGCAGUGAGGAAUAUUGGUCAAUGGCCGGGAGCCUGAACCAGCCAAGUCGCGUGAGGGAAGAAGGUACCGAGCAUUGUAAACUUCUUUUGUCAGGGGACAAAGGCAGCCACGGGUGCCUGUACGAGGGUACCUGGAGAAAAAGCAUCGGCUAACUCCGUGCCAGCAGCCGCGGUAAUACGGAGGAUGCGAGCGUUAUCCGGAUUUAUUGGGUUUAAAGGGUGCGUAGGCGGAGUGUUAAGUCAGCGGUAAAAUGUCGGGGCUCAACCCCGGCCGGCCGUUGAAACUGGCGGGCUCGAGUUGGAGAGAGGUAUGCGGAAUGCGUGGUGUAGCGGUGAAAUGCAUAGAUAUCACGAAGAACCCCGAUUGCGAAGGCAGCAUACCGGCGCCACACUGACGCUGAGGCACGAAAGCGUGGGUAUCGAACAGGAUUAGAUACCCUGGUAGUC
This 459-nucleotide ribosomal RNA is filed under the name uncultured bacterium. RNAcentral's name for it is "partial 16S ribosomal RNA". It matches the Rfam family "Bacterial small subunit ribosomal RNA", at positions 338 to 795 of the family's 1533-position model. The record is from RNAcentral.